Molecule: ribosomal RNA, 355 nt
Filed under: uncultured bacterium
Lineage: Bacteria
Description: partial 16S ribosomal RNA
Rfam family: Bacterial small subunit ribosomal RNA
Source: RNAcentral
CCUACGGGUGUCAGCAGUGAGGAAUAUUGGUCAAUGGGCGCGAGCCUGAACCAGCCAAGUAGCGUGAAGGAUGCCUGCCCUACGGGUUGUACACUUCUUUUAUCAAGGAAUAAAUUGAGGCACGUGUGCCUUUUUGUAUUUACUUUAUUAAUAAGGAUCGGCUAACUCCGUUCCAGCAGCCGCGGUACUACGGAGGAUCCGAGCGUUAUCCGGAUUUAUUGGGUUUAAAGGGAGCGUAGAUGGGUUGUGAAGUCAGUUGUUAAAGUUUGCGGAUCAACCGUAAAAUUGCAAUUGAGACUGGCAGACAUGAGUACAGUGGAGGUAGGCGGAAUUCGUGGUGUAGCGGUGAAAUGCU